Molecule: ribosomal RNA, 406 nt
Filed under: uncultured bacterium
Lineage: Bacteria
Description: partial 16S ribosomal RNA
Rfam family: Bacterial small subunit ribosomal RNA
Source: RNAcentral
AUUGAACGCUGGCGGCAGGCCUAACACAUGCAAGUCGAGCGAGCGGCGGACGGGUGAGUAAUGUCUGGGAAACUGCCUGAUGGCUGGGGAUAACUACUGGAAACGGUAGCUAAUACCGCAUACCAUCAGCUUUGCCCAGAUGGGGGUAGCUAGUCGGUGGGGUAACGGCUCACCUAGGCGACGAUCCCUAGCUGGUCUGAGAGGAUGACCAGCAACACUGGGACGGAGACACGGUCCAGACUCCUACGGGAGGCAGCAGUGGGGAAUCUUGCGCAAUGGACGCAAGCCUGAUGCAGCCAUGCCGCGUGUGUGAAGAAGGCCUUCGGGUUGUAAAGCACUGUCAGCGGAGAGGCGGUACCCGCAGAAGAAGCACCGGCUAACUCCGUGCCAGCAGCCGCGGUAAUUC